AUUGAUGACUUUCGUCUUUGUUAUCAGUCCACUACGACCGUCUAUGAUUCUUUCGAAUUUUGAUUGGUGAACGCUCCAGAGUAUUACCUCAACGUUCUGAUAGCUCCAGAGUAUUAGCUCAACUAUCAACACUAAAAUCUUAAGAUUUUAGGAGAAAUGAAAAACUUCAUUCAAACUUAAUUUCAUUCUGAUUACAAACGAGCAUCAAGGCUCUUAUUUAUAGCGGAGUAGGACUUACAAGUAGUUCACAUGUCCCUAUCCGUGACAGCUAUUAAAGCAAAAGAAAAACGCACUAAAGAAAACGGACAAACAAUAAUUUACAUAAAGUAGAUGCCUUAGUGAUAAGGCAGUCUUAUUCGACCCUACAUAGUGGGUGGCUGCUUUN
This 385-nucleotide long non-coding RNA is filed under the name Trifolium pratense (red clover). RNAcentral describes it as "long non-coding RNA (TPRA_LNC010029)". Lineage: Eukaryota; Viridiplantae; Streptophyta; Magnoliopsida; Fabales; Fabaceae. The record is from RNAcentral.